Molecule: unclassified non-coding RNA, 240 nt
Filed under: soil metagenome
Description: partial contains 5.8S ribosomal RNA, internal transcribed spacer 2, and large subunit ribosomal RNA
Source: RNAcentral
AACGCACGAGACCUGCGGACCUGCGGAAGGAUCAUUACCGAGUUAGGGUAGUCACUCACUGCCCGGCCUCCCAACCCUGUGUCUACCACACUUUGUCGUUGCUUCGGCGGACCGGUUGACCAACUGGUCGUGACCGCCGGGGGCUGGCUCUGUCCCCCCUGGAGAGCGUCCGUCGAUGGCCCAACCACAAAACUCUUGUACCGAAACGUGUCGUCUGAAUUAUAUUUGAGAAAUCAAAAA